This 459-nucleotide ribosomal RNA is filed under the name Pediococcus acidilactici. Its description in RNAcentral is "bacterial SSU rRNA". It matches the Rfam family "Bacterial small subunit ribosomal RNA", at positions 88 to 534 of the family's 1533-position model. Lineage: Bacteria; Bacillati; Bacillota; Bacilli; Lactobacillales; Lactobacillaceae. The record is from RNAcentral.
GAAGUGAGUGGCGGACGGGUGAGUAACACGUGGGUAACCUGCCCAGAAGCAGGGGAUAACACCUGGAAACAGAUGCUAAUACCGUAUAACAGAGAAAACCGCCUGGUUUUCUUUUAAAAGAUGGCUCUGCUAUCACUUCUGGAUGGACCCGCGGCGCAUUAGCUAGUUGGUGAGGUAACGGCUCACCAAGGCGAUGAUGCGUAGCCGACCUGAGAGGGUAAUCGGCCACAUUGGGACUGAGACACGGCCCAGACUCCUACGGGAGGCAGCAGUAGGGAAUCUUCCACAAUGGACGCAAGUCUGAUGGAGCAACGCCGCGUGAGUGAAGAAGGGUUUCGGCUCGUAAAGCUCUGUUGUUAAAGAAGAACGUGGGUGAGAGUAACUGUUCACCCAGUGACGGUAUUUAACCAGAAAGCCACGGCUAACUACGUGCCAGCAGCCGCGGUAAUACGUAGGUGG